CCGCACUGUGGGUACUUGCU
Molecule: non-coding RNA, 20 nt
Filed under: Papio hamadryas (hamadryas baboon)
Lineage: Eukaryota; Metazoa; Chordata; Mammalia; Primates; Cercopithecidae
Also listed under: 3 other names
Gene: pha-miR-106b
Source: miRBase by way of RNAcentral